This 305-nucleotide ribosomal RNA is filed under the name uncultured bacterium. RNAcentral describes it as "bacterial SSU rRNA". It matches the Rfam family "Bacterial small subunit ribosomal RNA", at positions 333 to 655 of the family's 1533-position model. The record is from RNAcentral.
UGAGCCCUACGGGAGGCAGCAGUGGGGAAUAUUGCACAAUGGGGGAAACCCUGAUGCAGCGACGCCGCGUGAAGGAAGAAGUAUUUCGGUAUGUAAACUUCUAUCAGCAGGGAAGAAAAUGACGGUACCUGACUAAGAAGCACCGGCUAAAUACGUGCCAGCAGCCGCGGUAAUACGUAUGGUGCAAGCGUUAUCCGGAUUUACUGGGUGUAAAGGGAGCGCAGGCGGCACGGCAAGCCUGAUGUGAAAGCCCGCGGCCCAACCGCGGGACUGCAUUGGGAACUACCGGGCUGGAGUGCCGGAGG